CUUCUUCAGGGCAGGGUGUGAUUCCCUACCGGCGGUACAGCCCGCGAACCAGGCGCAAGCCUGGCCGAUUCGGUGAAAUUCCGGAGCCGACAGUAUAGUCUGGAUGAGAGAAGAG
Molecule: non-coding RNA, 115 nt
Filed under: bovine gut metagenome
Description: FMN riboswitch (RFN element)
Rfam family: FMN riboswitch aptamer (RFN element)
About the family: The RFN element is a highly conserved domain that is found frequently in the 5'-untranslated regions of prokaryotic mRNAs that encode for flavin mononucleotide (FMN) biosynthesis and transport proteins. This element is a metabolite-dependent riboswitch that directly binds FMN in the absence of proteins.
Source: RNAcentral